GAAUGGCCAAGCAGACAUUAAGCCCAUGUCCACCAGCUAACAGCAAAGUGAUGUAAGUCUGAGGCCCACAUUCCCUCCAAGAGGCUGGCUGCAGAUUCAGAGCUGCCUCUCCAAAGCCUCUGUGACCAGGUGACACAAGCACACCUGUCCUUGUCCCGUUGUGUCAGCACCAGUGGAGGAGCUUCUACAACUGACGUCAGGAGAGGUCUAACUAUCUGUAUACUGUUUACAGAGUGAAAGACGGGCACAUCACACGGAUCCGUCCCCAGGUGACUUCAGCCAUGCCCAGUUCAGCUGGACGUCAUCAUGCUUCUGCCACCUCUCAUACUGUCCUCUCCAGGUCUUCCCUCGUCUUCGUCCUGGCUGUGGCUGCAGCUUGGUGGCUGAUGGUCGUCUCUGUGCUGCUGUGGCCCCAAGGUGUCAUAUUUUACCCUUCACUACAACACAUCCUCCCCCAAGUUAUAUUUUAUGGAACACGUAUUAUUUAGUCCAGAAGUUUACAUAUUUUUCAGAUAAUUUGAUCUAAAAAUGAACUUCAAGCAAAUCCUUGUCUUAUGUUGAUCUUUGUGGUAAAAAUGAGGUUCACUGAAGUUUUUCAAUAUUGACACAAAUAUUGUCUGCACUGAAUAGUUUAUGAUAUUUGUCAAAUAAGUUCUGGCUUGACUAGGAAUAUCCGUAUAUAGUUUGUGGAAUCCAUACAGAGUAAAACACUGCCUAGUGAACACAGAAAACUCAGGGUGAUCUCCUCACAGCUCCUUUUUCUUAUUGAGUAAUCUGGAUGUCCAAAACCAGGAAGAUAUAUAAAAUAAAGCGAAACUAAAAUCUUUGUUAGCUAGACAUCUGCUAGCACUAGCUGUGUUACCAUUAGCUUGUCAGCUUAAAUGUUUUAGCAGCUCAAAUAAGAGUUUAUACAGCGAUGUUACACUCUAUAUAGAUAAUUGUCAUUAUGUGCACUGAGUGGUGACAAAAAUUAGCUGUAGAUUAACUCUGAAGUGUCAUCAGUCCCUCUACAGGAUUAUGAAUGGCAGAAAUGGUGAAUAGCUAUGUUAAAUGCAGGUUUUCAUUCCAACCAAGGAGGAGCACACCAGGCUGGACUCAUUUAAUCAGCUGAUCUCAGUCUUCAGCUGAUAGUUAGGUGACCGCCUGCUUUAGUCCAACUUAAAUCAUGGCAUGUCUCCAGGAUAUAACAAGUUGCCUUGCCAUCAGUUUAAAGAGGUGUUGUUUUUUCUCUGUAGCUCACAGAUCUUCACUCCCGCCAUUUUUUUUCUUUCUUUUUCAACUCAUUACUUUAUAAAGCAAGUUCAGUCAAUUUGACACAUUUUUCAAGUCCCCAAGAAAGUGACCUCGGGUGCCCACUUUACUCGGGGAUCAGGCUCCCUCCACCAUCUGCAGGUGCUGCAAAGCAGCGCUGCUCAAUCCUUUACAGCAACAAAGAGGCAUGAUCACAUGACCUCUCUGCUUUCCUCCACUGGCUCCCUGAUAGACUUUGAAAUGGUUUAAAAAAUUGUAUUUCCUACAUUUAAGGUCUUUUAAAUCUCAUCUUGAAACUUUCCUUUUUGUGGAAGCUUUUGGAAAUGUUUGAUCCAUUUCUGCCUUAUCUGGUUUUAUUCUGAGUUUGAUUUUGUAAAGCUUUUUGUAACAUUGUUAUGAAAGGUGCUAUAUAAAUAAAGUUUAUUAUUAUUAUUAUUAUACAUGCAUUGUUUCUGUAGUGUUGAAGUCGGUGUCAUACGCCAACAACUCUGGCAUCUUAAAUCUCCUGGACUUCUGGCUGAAAGGCAACUCUUUGCUAACAUCUUCACCUUCUCAGCUUGUUGACGAGAUGAUAUUAUGUUUACUUUUUUGCACCUUCCACUCUUUCUGAAUUCUGGAACCUAAGCAGUCAUGGACGGCUCCACACUGGGGCUAGAGGGUGCUAUAGCCCCGUCAAAAAAUCUGUUUAGCCCCAGUUAAGCCCCUCCAGAAUUUUAUUUCAUAUUAUAAUACAUGUAUAUUAAGUUAAAAAACAAUUUCAAUAAUUUCAUUGUAUAUUUUAAUAUUUUUUUUGUUUAAAAAUAAACAUUAAAAAGUUCACGAGUUCCAAUCCAUCCCCGCUUGCCU
Molecule: long non-coding RNA, 2097 nt
Organism: Chelmon rostratus (copperband butterflyfish)
Lineage: Eukaryota; Metazoa; Chordata; Actinopteri; Chaetodontiformes; Chaetodontidae
Exons: 3
Source: RefSeq, a predicted model, not a curated record